RNAcentral lists this transfer RNA (66 nucleotides) under Eiconaxius baja. RNAcentral describes it as "tRNA-Leu". The record is from RNAcentral. Lineage: Eukaryota; Metazoa; Arthropoda; Malacostraca; Decapoda; Axiidae.
ACUAAAAUGGCAGAAAUUGUACAGGAUUUAAGCUCCUUUUAUGAAGAUUUAUUUCUUCUUUUAGUA